AGGAAUACAAGUCAUAAAGCAAUUAACAGGUAGGAAUUUUUCCAAAAGGAGGUUAUGUUUUCCUUUCAAAUCAGCUUCUUCAGAAAUUAUCUUCAAAUUCAUCAGUAUAGGAAGGACUUAGUGCACCUUAUCAACUUUCCUGAGCUAUAUCUUCUGAGAUGGACUGAAACGUUAACUCUUGGUGCUGGUAAGUGACAUGGGAUUCAUUUAUUCUGGACCAUUUGGUCUGCUGCAGGAAGAAGCUUUUUGUUCCACAUGGAGGAGACUCAGCCACUCUUAGGUUGCUUCCCUGCAUGCUGAAGUUGAAUUUGAUUUCAUAAGCAUCAACAGGUACGUCAGUGUUUCUUUAAAGUCAGUUCUAUACCCAGAGUAGUGUUGUGUCUGUGCCCACCACGGUCUGUAUUUUCUGCUCACAUACUUCAUAUCUGUGUUCUGAUGACACCGUUUUAGAAACUGGGCACAGAAAUUCUUGUGUCACUUUGGCAAGCACACGAUUCCUUUUCCUGCCAAAAGUGAAUCACAAAUAUAAUAUUUGAAUUUAUUUUUACAUGCAGUUUAUGCUGAAUCAAGUAAAAGAAGACUGAGCUUGGAGAUGCAUCAGAUUUCUUUGCACUUUAUACAUUGUCUACAUUAUACAGCUUCACAUUUGGUAUUCUGAUCCUAAAGAAUUUUAGGGCAAAGAAGCUGUCCCAUGCAACUUCAUAGAAAAUAGUUCCUUUUCAUUCAUUCUUUUACCUGUAAUUCUUACACGGAUGCAUCAUAUUGUAUAUGAGAGGAAAACAUUGCCGUACUGCAUAGUCAACUCCAUUUAUAUCACUGAAAGGGCAGCAAUCCGAAGCCUGAGUAACUUGAGCUCCAUGUGCAUCGCCACCCAAGCGAGCUGGACAUACAGUGACACCCAAAUGCCAGUGCUGGGCACAGGUCUGUGCAGCUCCAUCCUUGUGGAUUGUCUCCACUGGAGCAAAGCGUGUCGUUAAACCCUGCUAUGCUGUGCUAUGCUUCACUGGGCAGCUGUGGGAAAUAAUAUAAAAUAGAGCACACACUGCACCGUGCACCUCGUUCUACAGAGCAGGUAUAGACUCUGUAAUUACACCACAAUGCCUGGCACAUACCAUGUAAAUGCAUAGCAAUUGCAUGUUCCUACAGCUUACUUGUUAAUUAUGCAUUGUUACUAACAAGUUCAAAGAUAAAUUAUCAUAGCACAUGCAGCACUUAGAUGCUUGCAAACCUCCUAAGCUAUGAAUUUGUCCUAUUAAUGGCCACUAUUGUUGCUUUUCCACUGGGAAGGGAAGCGCGGUGCUGUCUCAAGCUGAAGGCCAGCAGUUGGAGCACGCAGCUCUUAGUGGUGCAGCAGAGAUACGCUGAAGCACUUCAACCAAGGAGGAAAUCUGGAUGAAUUAACAAAAUAACUUCCAUUAACAAAUCACUUUGCAAAUUCCAUUUAGUAAUCCUCCUAAGCAAAUGCUGUAUUUAAAAUCACUGGCACUUGCAUGCUGUUUUCCUGACCCAAUAUUUAAUUCUGCACAAGCUAAAAAUGAAAGGAAAACCUCAUUCGACUGAUGUCACUGGCAAAACUCCUAUUGAUUUCAGUGAUGCAGGGUUCUACCCAGGCAGCUUACUUGUAAGUGGGUUCUUGAAAUAGCUUAUAUUAUAUUCUGGCAGAAAUAGAUCACCAUGUAAGGCCACUUCACAGUCCAUGCUGGCUCUUCUGUGAGCCGCACUGCAGUAUUUUAGACUACAACAUAUAACUUUUAACAGCUACCUUAAUAGCAUUGUACAAAAUACAGUUAUUCUCUACAAACAUUGCUUUUCUCCAAAGUGAAGCUUCCCUGUAAGACAUAACUCUGUAAUGGUUUGGUGUCAGCUGUAUAGAACCAGCCACACUGGAUCAUCUUGCUUUUUUGGGUUGUUUUUUAUUUUGAUUGGUUGUUUGGGUGGUUUUUUUCCCCUCAGUUUUUCCUAUUUUCAUAUGGAUUUUCAGUUUGAAAGGUGAUGCUGAUGUGUUUAAGGAAGGUCAGGAGGCAGCUUCGUGGCUGAUGUGAACUCAGGUAGUGCCAGUGGCUAUCAGGGAACAAGGGAGCUGGAGGAAGCUGGUCUUGCUGGUAAAGCAAAGAACUGGAAUGUGCUCAUGUGACAGGGGAGCACAAACCAAAGGAAGGCUGAAGAGAGUAGCAAGAAGAAAUGCCAGGACGUGAGCUGAGGUGCUAGUUGGAACAGAAGACAAGUCUGUCUAGGAAUGGCAGGUGAAUUUACACUUGUGUUGGAGACUCCUUAAAGAUGAAGGGUCAAGGAAGCAGGGAGAGAGACCAGGAGAAGGCAGGGAGGCAGAGAAAGCAAAAGGAUGAUGGUGAUGGUCUGUUUUGAAAGAGCAACUGGCCUAGUGUGCCAAAAUGAGAUUGCAUUUCAGCAGGAAGAGAACAGCUGGCAGAGUGCAAGGCAGAUUUUGAGGUUAAAGACAAGAGCAAGGAAAGGGGCAAGAAGGUUUAUAGAAGCCAAACAGGAACAAAGUGGGAUCAGAUCACUGCAGCAACAUAUAACGUGCCAGAAGGCUUUAUUAUCUGCUGUGCUCUCUAGUUGCAAGUGCAAGAUGGUCACUAGUUUCUAAGACAAAAUAUAUUCUUAUUGAAGUUCCUUCAUUCUCCAGUGGAAAAUAACUUCUUAUGCAGAAGGACUGUUAUUUUGAAUGGAUUUGAAUUUUCAAUGGAUUUAAUACCAGUACUGACUUUAAAUAAAAGAGAGGCACACAUCUCCAGUGCUGGAGAUCCAGCGUUGCAAUGGAGGCUCGCUGGCCCUGUGUCUGAAAUCAGCAGGUCCUUUGAAGGCGGUGUCCUUGUUCAGAUGGAUUUACCUUGUUGUCCUUCCCCAACUCUCACUUCCUCCUCAACCCCUACACUGGAGCCUGAAGAAAUGUUUGCAGGUUUCCCUAGAUAAUAGGCAUAUUUCUAAUGCAAACUGAAGGCCAAACUCUUUUUUAAUUCCUAAGGGCUAAUUUUGUCCCUACUGAAAUCUACAGCAAGGUUCCUGCAGCCUGCAGUGGUCCCAGGUGUGGUUCGAGCAGCCCUGAUCUGACCUUGGAAUUCUAAUGAAAAAAGCCUAUGUACAAGAAGUGGGGAAAACAAUCAUUAAUAAAUAUAUUAGGAGAACAUGGUUCCCUUGAAAAAGGUUCAUUAUUUUGGUAGUUACUUGUUCAAUAAGAGAAAAAAGUCUAAUCAAUGAGAGGAGAAAUUAAAAGUUAGGAAUCUCACCAAAACAGAGAGUAGAAUACUGCGUUCAAGAGGACAGCCACCAAUUAAGGGAGAUGUCAACAACUCAAGUGGCAGCAACUUCAAAAGGGAAAUCUUUUCCUCAUUUUCAUAUGCAUUCUUCAUAAACAACAUCAAGAAGCAUAACAUGCUAAUAGCUAAUAACACUCAGAAUAAGAUUCACUAAUUUACUAACUGAAUAAUUUAAUGCAUAUCAAAGGAAUGAUUUCCUCAUUUCAUUCUUUUUUUAGAUCUAAUGCUAAGCCGGGUAUUAUCAAAUAGAUGAAACUGCACAGAUUACAAGUCAUCGCUGAAAUAGUCAUUUUGGAAUUGAGCUUGUUUUUUUCCACUGGAUGUAUCUUUUUGAGUUUAAGGAAUUGUGUUCCUUUUUUUCUUGUUCUGGCGAUGGAUUGUAAAGAAAGAAAGAAAGAAAGAACAGAAAAGAAAAGAAUGAUCAGCUGUGCUGAACCAAGACAAGGAGAUGGGAUGCGGUGAGCAGUGUGCCCCAUGGUCCCUUGGCUGGGCUCACCCACCUGCUCGGGCCCAGAUGUACAGUGGAUAGGAGAUUUUAUUUGUGCUGGAAUGGAAGCUGAUCACCCAGCACCACGCACCAUGUUUCUGUGUAGUGCCCCAGACUGAGGGCAGGCAGGCUGGAACCAUUGGCUUUGUGGCAGAUGGAGCAACAUUUGCAAUUGGGGAAAAAAACAAACAACAACUCUCAUGCUGCCAAAAUAUUAUCAAGGGGCUUCCUCGGAAAUAUUCUGCCAUGGCCAUUGGUAGAUGUAAAUACCCCGUACAUAGCACUUCCUCCAAGGAACAUGGUAUAAUUUCAGCAGACUUUCUGAUGACAAGGACCUCUCUGCACCUGCUUUUAUCUCCUGCAAAGUCCUUCACUUCAAGUCAUGAGCUUUCAGCACUGCAGCGUCUCAUGGAUGUGACCUGUGGUGAUUGUGGUCAGCAGAGCAGAGCUGGUUUGGGGUCCCCGGUGUGGCUGUGCUGAGUCAGGUGGCAGGCUUGGCAGCAACGGCACAGUGUGAAAUCAAACAGAUUCAUGUGCAACAUCAAAGAAUUUCAGUGAUUUUUUUCAUUCCAUUUAUAUGCCAACUCUCUGGUGAUGGAGUCAGACGUGUCGCGACAGUCCUGCAAGCAGCAAAGAUUACCACUCUCUCUGCCACUACUGCUGUUCUCCUUGCUAGCACUUGGGAAGCUACUGUAGCAAAGGUCUCAGGGGUGACAAUCUGGAAUUUAAGGCCAAUACAUGGUGAGACCCUUGGUGGAAUGGAUGGCACUUCGGCAAGCAACACUGACUUAUCUGGGUAAGAUGAAGAAUUGAAUUACUGUAGCAGAUUGAAAGCCAAGGUCUGGCUUGGAUGGUAUUCCUGAACCUAGUAGCAUCCUUACUCCAUGCUUAGGUAGUGAGAUCUGUCACUUGUGCUCUAGAUACUCGUAUUAACUGCAUAAAUGAUGUCAACAGAAAUGACAUGUAUUUAAAAUGUUAGAGUUGCUCUUCUGAAAUGGUUCAAGUACACAUUUUUAGCUUCUACAAUCUCUUCUGAUUACACCACUUGCAAAGGUAUUGUAUUCCUUGUAGUAUCUAGCUAUAGUAACUUGUUAGUAGCUGUACUACCGCUGAUUCCCCUACAUAAAGCACUGCAGAAUAUACUUCAAAUACUGGCUUUUUGUGUGUCUCACACAAGUAGUCAUUAAUACCAAGGGAACAGCAUGCUACUGUUCCAGGUUUUCUAAGAACUAAUCCUAUCGCUCUCCACCAGCUCCUGUUGCCGGCUCCACAAUGCCUUUAUUAUUUAUGCUUUUACUCUUAAAAACUCAAAUUUAGAUCUGAAAAUUUUCAUGCUUUUGUUUCUUUUUAAAAUAAUUAAAGCAGGCAAAUGGACCUGAUGUAAUCUGCAUAGCGUGCACCAUGGCUGUGAAAGCACUGCUUGUUCUCUGAAAGGAGGAAUUCUUCCAGCCGUCAUCCCAUGCCCCCUCCCUGUGCGGCCGCCUUUCCCAUACACUUGGGGGACUUGCUGCCAGUCAUUGGUUUGCCCUGGAGGUUUGCUACAGUGAUAUUAUGGUUUGCUGGAUGUUCAAUGCCCGGCAGGUUUGUCUCUAAGCAUAACCUCAAGUUUAGUGUUUUGCUGUUCUGCUGGCGUAGCGAUUGCUUUUCCCAAAGCACCAUCCUCUCCCUGGGUGCUCGGGGUACACACCGCUCCAUCUUCACACGGCCUUCACAGCAGGCUUGCAGGGAUCUUUUCUCCUCCUCUGCCACCCCACAGCAAGUGGCAUGUUUUCAGAUAUGUUCCAUCCACAAAGGAUUUGAAUGUUGGCCUAGCAUAUUUUACUGGUACUUGAAUGGCCUAAAGAAAGUAUUUGGAAAGCGGCAGAUGCCUUUGGAAAAGACUGAAAGAGAAAAAAACUAGACUAGAUGGGGAUGUUAGCAGGUCAGCUGGCCCAGGAAAACAGAAUAAAGAGUGCAGUGCAGAAGUGGUUGCCAGCAAGCAGCCGUGUAAGCCCUGCCUCACAACCACCAAGCUCCUCCCGGCCCCUCUGCUGUGACACACUCAGCCUGUCAGUACAAGAACUACAAACUGUGGUACAGAUCAUUCAGGCAAAUCAGAUUUCCUAAACCUUGUUUGUUUUUUUCUUUCCCAAACAGAUAAAAAUAGGUAUUGUCUGAGGAGGAACGAGGACCAGGUACUACAGCACGUGAUGUGGGGUUUUUUCAUAGCCACAGCAGCGCUCCAGGUGUACGGGCAGCAGCUGGCACCAAACUGCUAUCAUGGCUGCUGGGCACCACCAAAACACAGGGAAACAUCAUACUGCUUCUGUAACAGGAACAACAGAGCUGUAAAAUGAAGAUGCCAAGUGGAAUUCUUAAGUAAUAAGGUAUCAUUCCAUCACUGGUGCCUUUGGUGGGCCACUGCACAGUGCAGGCCAUUGGGAUGCACUUCUUCAUGGGAAUGUUCCACUGACACACCUGGAAAACACAAUGAGUGCACAACAGCUCGGGAAGAUUUAACAGUUUGGGAGGAAUUAACAAAGAGACAACAGUGCUUGCCGUGACAGUAAAGGAAGAGGCAUUAAAUAAAACAGCUUGCCACAACGUGGCUUCUGACUAAGAGUGAAAAAUGUAAUGGGGAAGAAUGUACUUCGGAUAAACAGACAUUCUGUUAAGGUAAAUGCAAAAGUAUGUGCCAGUAGGAGGGAAAAAAACACGUCUUCUUCCUGUACAGUCACCAUCAGCACCCAUUUGCAUGAAGCAAGUAAGGAGAGCGGACUUCCUGAGAAGCAGAACAGAACAGUGUCGUGGAUAAGCAGAGGGGACAUACAAUUUACUGACAGCUUUCAUAGAACUCUCAGGGUCUGUUUGGCCAGCUGGGAGGGAAGAGAGGAAAACAAUCAGUAAACAGUCAUUUACUGUGCACCUCUUAAAGUCCUUGCUAGCAGUCCUCAGUCUGUCUCUCUCUAAGAGACAGAGAACUUGAGAAAGGCAAAAAGUCUAUGUGGUUGCUGGAAAGCAAGCAAUGAUGGUGCAAAAUCAGUUGAUACAGUUCAUAGCUGUCAGUGAGAUGGUCUUUGUAGACACUCACCUGGUAGAAACUGCUGUGGUACAAGGCUUGAGCCAGAUACAGCGACGGAUGGACCAUUAUUUCAGGGUAAGUGGCAGGCAUGCCCAUAACUUAGAGGAAAAACAAAGGAAAAAAGGAAAUAACUUAUUAAGGCAGAAAAAAGGAAACAACUUAUUAAACUUACAUACUAAAAAUGGAGGUAAGGAUGGAGGACGAGAGAAGAUAGGGCCCAUUUUAUCUCUGCAUACAAUCUACCCCUACUACAGUCAGAUUACAGGAAAGGGAAAUAGGGCAGCUAACAUCUCAACCAACACAGGAAUCUCAGCACUUCCCGGAUGCUCACUUCCAAAUGUCUGUAUUUGCAUAUGGAGAUACUAAUAGAAAAGACCCCUUGUGUGCUGAAGUGAGAAUGCACAUGAGUGCCCUGCAGCAGGACAAGCUGUGGCCCACCCUCCGACCCAGCAGCAAGCAGACGGGACAGGAACUUUGCUCCUGCAGCACCAGCAAGGACUGUGAAGUUCUGAGGCAGCAGCAACUUGAUGACGUGCAGCGGGGUUAGAGCGGAG
Coturnix japonica (Japanese quail) is the source of this 7377-nucleotide non-coding RNA. The record is from RefSeq and is a predicted model, not a curated record. NCBI's taxonomy places the organism in Eukaryota, Metazoa, Chordata, Aves, Galliformes, Phasianidae.